GUAAGUAACCUACCAUGUUUACGCACACAUUACUUUGACCAGCAAAGCCCAUGUCUUUCUAGUGGUUUACAAAAAUAUAUCGUUUGCAUGUUUUGCUUUGGUACGUCUCUGUUGUAUGACUCUGGUAAUAGUAGCAAGCACAAGCACAACCUGUUCGCCGCUCCAGCAUUGCAAAAUAGAUUGCCUUGGGUUUUCAAAUGUUUACAUGAUUGUGGGUGUAAUGUUGUUAACUCGCUGAUGUCGUUUUUGAGAAGACGGUAGUUUUGCAUUUGAUAAAUACCACCUAAUGACCAUGACGGCUACACGGCAGAUCUUUAUUGUGAUGGCUACACUGAAUGAUCACAUGGAGAUGCCGGUACAUUAUUUGUUUUACCCUGGUUAUAUUGAAAUGUUCUGCUUUGUCCAUUCCAAGGUGUGGUGUUUUCCAUAGCUGUUCCUUGCUCCUGUAUCACAACAUAUCAAGGCUGCCAAGUAAAUGAAGAAUGAAUCACCGCACACUGGUCAACAGCAGACAGGGUCCUUCCACAACCACAUACUUAUGCCAGUAAAAGCCACAGCUUUUCUCCUCCAAUCCAAGAAGCCUGGACUGCAGUCACCAUCUCAACACACCAACCAAGAGAAAGGCGGAUGGCUCAAUUCAGUAUGUAGUUCUGCAAAUAUUCUCAAAGGUCUUCACAGCCCCCCAUGGUGCUGAAUGCAUUUACAUUUAUUUGUGUAAGGUAAAAACAAUGCUGAUUACAGAACAUAACUAGGGCCAUGAAUGAAAUUUGAGGUAGCAGCCAGCCAUCACCUGAUGGUGAGAGGUGGUCCUAAGAUCAGAGAGAAGCAGGUUGAAAUCCCAUCCUUACCUCUCCCUACCUACACCUCCAUCCACAGCUGAAGUGCACUUGAGCAAGGCACACAAGUCCACUUAGGUCCUGGGACUGUAGCCAACACCCUGUAAAACCCUGCUGUGUAAUUUGAUGUAAUGAAGCCCUAAUAUAGUCUAACACAUUGCUUGUUACAGAUAUGGAAAAUUGCACAAUAAAAGUUCCAGGACAUGAAGGCUGCAUACUGUGAACGUCAACCUUCAGGGCACCGUCCUGCGCAGAAGACUUUCUACCCUAAGAGGGAUGGCUGACCGCAGACACUCACAACCAGCACAGACGCCUCCAACCUCAGACUAGGCUCUUCACAGUUGCUGCACUUACCCACCUUCCCAGAGUUUUUGUGUGGUAAUGACAACUGUAAAUAUAGUAUAAAGUAAUGUAUCUAGUGUCAUGUGUAAUACAUUGUUUAAAUUGUCCAUACAUUUCAAUGACAGUAAAUAUUGGUGGACACAAUUUGACUGUGUGGCUUUUUUUUUUAUUCAUUCUCUGACUGAAAAUGCAUGGUUACAUAAUUUAUAUAUUCCACAAGACCACAAUCAGAAGAUUAUUUGACAGGUUGCAUUUAUUUUCUAUGUAUGAAAAAAACAAUGGUAACAAGACAAACGUGGUUCCAAACCAAAAAGGUGAGAUGUACAGAUGAAUGCUCCUACAGAUAAUGAAAAAUAAUAAAAGUCUGCACACUGCCGGUUUGUGUGUUUUAUACCGUACUCUGUAUAAACCUUUUUAUAUUGCUCUAGUGGAGCAGGGUAACCCUGGCUAAUCCUGGGUAUUGUACUGUGUAUUACAACGUCAGCCCUGUUCAAGUGCCCCAUACUGUCUGUAGGCUA
Molecule: long non-coding RNA, 1696 nt
Organism: Engraulis encrasicolus (European anchovy)
Lineage: Eukaryota; Metazoa; Chordata; Actinopteri; Clupeiformes; Engraulidae
Exons: 3
Source: RefSeq, a predicted model, not a curated record